UGCAAGUAGAUGGUCGAUUUAUCAACCGAGUUCAUUAUAAUGCCAACAUCUUUCCCACAAUCAUUGGUAUAAUUUAGAAUAGUUGACCGCAAACAUGUAUGUCUCAUGAUAUGGGUCAAUUGUUCAACUUGAUACAUCAGUUAAAUACAUAUGCAAACUUUAUUUCGUACAUAUAUAGUUAUAUAUGAUCUCCCUUUCGUCGUCCACCUUAUGUCAUUGGCAGCUUGUUUGAUGAUUCUGAAACAAUGAAAUGGAUAUUAUAGCCCAUUGUUCAAACUGAUCAUGCUAAAUAUACAUCGUGCUAUAUCUUUCAUGUAUAAGACAAACAUGGAUAGAUGACUAGAUGAGUGUAGUAAGAGAGAGGAUUAAUUACUCACUUGAGCACAUGCUUCCAUUGGGGCUGGAUAUCUUGCAGCAAGAUGCAACAUAGCAGAACUUAGACGUGUUAAUUAAGGUUUUGACGUAUUUGGAGUGUAGAAACAAGGAAACACAUAACCCGUUUGCUUUUUUCAUCGCUAAGCAGCAGCCCUUUGAUGGUCUACACCGAGGUCCUUCUUUGACCACGUAUUUGGAGCACUCCAAAGCAAUACCUACAAAGUGCUUACAGCAUGUAGAAGCUUGGGUUGGCAUGCCAAGGAGCAGUAGAGCGCCGAAGAUCAAUAGCAAGAAGCUCAACACCAUGCGUCGAGAACUCAGAACAGCCAUCUUUUUCUUACCUUGGCACUCAAUUUAGAGCGCAUAUCCUCUAUAUGAGAUUUAUAAACAAUAAGACUGGCAGGCAUCGAAUUAUGUUCGCCUACUAUGUUCAUGAGUUUUGUGUGAUUGGUUCGCAUGUUCCACAAGAGAUGUGUGACGACUCUUCUUUCGUCACUUGUUGUCUAUUCUUUCAAAGGAGAGGUUUAAAGACGAGCCAAAAAA
This 918-nucleotide long non-coding RNA is filed under the name Musa acuminata (dwarf banana). RNAcentral's name for it is "long non-coding RNA (MACU_LNC008556)". Lineage: Eukaryota; Viridiplantae; Streptophyta; Magnoliopsida; Zingiberales; Musaceae. The record is from RNAcentral.